RNAcentral lists this long non-coding RNA (24897 nucleotides) under Daucus carota (carrot). RNAcentral's name for it is "long non-coding RNA (DCAR_LNC003932)". The record is from RNAcentral. Lineage: Eukaryota; Viridiplantae; Streptophyta; Magnoliopsida; Apiales; Apiaceae.
GACGAUUGAGAAGAAGGCCCGCUAGUGUUGAGGGAGAGCAGUUCAUCAUCCUGAGGAGGAUGCUCCAAAAUUUGUUGAGAAACACAUAAAAGCGCCUUCCUUAUCGCAUCCAGGCUCCCAGAUAUCUUCAAUGAGAUCACGAAAGACAAUGAAAGUGAAUUACGAUUAAUAGUAAUAGGAGUUGAAAAAAAUAUAUAAGCCUACUUCAAUCAGCUAUACUAAUGGAUGUCACAGGUUGCUUAAGAAUUCCCGAUUCUAAUUAAGGCUAAGGGGCAUCUCAAUCAACAAAGUCCGCUGGGACCUGACAAAGGACGACAGAUUAUGAAAGAGUAAAUUAGAAGAUAACAGAGCCUUUCAAACUAAAUGCUCCACGAACACUUUGACUAAAGAAAACAAAAUGUUCAUUCAAAGUACCUUUCUUCUUUAUUGGAAUUUACAUACCAAAUAAGACCACAAUAAAAGAUUACAAAAUGCUUACUGCACCUAAAAUCAAAAAACAACUUUUCCGUUUUUAAACAUAAAAAAAAAUAUUUAUCUGCAAUACGUUAUUUACCAAACCAAUUCAUUUGAACAACAAUUGAUUAAUAAUUUAGGACCUAGCCAUAUUAUGCAAUAUGGACUAGAGCUAAGUUAAUUAAUGUAUUCACAUGUGACAUGUUUGCACCAAAUACAAUGAUUAUGAUCUCUUUAGUUUAUAUCAUGAGAAAGAAAUGAUUUAAGAAAGGAUGAGCACGUUUUAUGAGAGAACUCGAGAAAUAAUAUGUAAACCUAUAUCGUGAAGGUUGUGACUAAUUUAAUUAUGGUAAUUAAAUGUAGGAGUAUUGAUUCUGAAAAAUAAAAUUGUAUUCCGAGUUUGAAAUUAAAAAAGUUUCUUAAUCAGCAUGUAAAAGGCAGAAAAUGACAUCUAAGUUUGUAGAGGAACAGACCAGGGAAUGAAACAAAAACAAUUGUCAAACCUGAACCAGUUCAUCGGAAGGAGAGGCACAAAUAGGUAGUUCAUCACUGGGAAGUAUCCUAAUUUGUGCCCCACUUUCAGAUUCCAUUUGUUUGAUAACACUCCCUUCGUUUCCCGAAAUGCCUCCCGCCUGACUAGAAAGAACAAGUAACCUCAAAGAAAAUGCGGAAGCCUUAUCAUUCUCUUCAUUUUCACCAACUGUUUCGGGUUCUCCUUCAGCAAUUCUUUCGAAAACAAGUAGCAGAGCCUUCUGAGCAGCAGAUGGUCCCUUCUCACAUUGUGAAUCUUUGGCGGCACCAGAUUCUUUAUCUAUGGUAUCAACAGAUUCCUUAUCUUCACCUUCCUUCUCUUCUUUCUCUUGUUCAUCUAGAUUAUCAACUUUAUCAGUAUCAUUUUUUUCUUCCUCCCCCUUAUUCUGUUCAGCAUCAACUCCAUUUUCCUUGUCAGACUCAAUAAUGACAAUGAUUCUUUCAUCACACCCGGGGACAGUUUCUUCAACUCUGACCUUUGCCCCAGUUUCUUGACGGAUUUGUGAGAUGAUUCCGCCACCUUUCCCAAUCACACUGCCACCUUUAGAAGCAGGACAGAGUACACGAAAGAAGGAGGUUCCAGGAGGGAUCCUCAAAUUUUGUGAAUUAAAUGCUGAAGUCUUCUGCCACUUUCCCCUAAUAUUUGACUCAUUCCGGUCAUUCUGUCUCUUUGCUGGAGUCAGUUGACCCGACAUGUUUACGGACCGAGAUAGACCUGUAAAAGCGCUACUUAAUAUUCGGAAAUAAAUUCGUGAAAACAAUCAGUUGCAUGGUGUCGAGACAAAAUGAUUACACAUUAAUUCACAAUAAAGUUAGCUUAUGUUGUCACUAAUCUACAACUUAUACCAUUUAAUAAAUGCUACCACAAUCAAAAUCCAUCAGCGUCUUUUAAAAACAGAAUACAAACAAACCAAAAGAAUGAUUUCUUCACACUCCCACACUACAAAGUCUACUUCAAACAAUAAACUUAUAAUCAUCCAUUCCUCUCCACAACAAAACCUCACAAGAUAAAAAUUCGAUUGUUAUCCAACAAAAUCAAAAAUAGCAUAAUUCCAGGAUAAACAAACAAACACUAUUACCCUCAAUCUCGAAAAACCCUAGCUUUCUUUUCCCUUAUCAUAUCAAAAUUUCCCUAAAAACCCAGCUCAGUUCAAGCAAUACAAAUACAAACACAUUCACACACAAAAACACACACACAGAGUGUAAUCCAAUUGGGUUCUUUUCUACAACAAGUUCCAAUUUUUACAAAGCAAGAAACACAUAAAAUUGCAGAGAAUUACAUACAAACACAUACAUAGUGAGAGAGAUAUAGAUACAUGAAGAUUAGAGAGUGAUUAAGAGCAAUUAGUUACCUCCAAAAGGGUGAAUCUUGGGUGGGUUUUGAUAGAAAAGAAGGCUCUCUAACCCCUCUUCUGUUCUCUUGAAUCUUGGCUAUAAAACCCUUGUUUGUGUUGCUGCUUUGUUUUGUCACGACCCUCCUUGUAUCUUUUUUAUUUUCUCGCCUCUAUAUUUAUAAUAUUUUUAUUAUUAUAUAUAUAAUAUAUAAUUAAUUUUAAAUUAUAAUAUGUGUAUAUAUAUACACAUAUUUUUUAAUAAAUAUAUUAUUGUAUAUUUAAAUUUUUCAUUCUCACAUAUUUUUGAAAUUUUCCUUUUUAUACAAAAGGUAAAUUUUAAUAAAGAGAAAUUAAUUAAAGAUAAUACUUUUGUUAUACAAUUACUUAAAUUGUGUUUUGAAAACUUAAUUGACAUUGAAAUUCUUUUUAUCAAAAUAGCAUCUAAUUUCUAAAUAUAUUGAUUUCAAUAUUUAUUAAAAAGAUAAAAGAUAAUAUAAAUAUUUAAGUUUAAACUUACUCUAAAAUACUAAUUUUGUAAAGAAAUGAAAACAAAAAAGAAAAUGUGAAGAAAAUUCAAAUAAUUGUGCCCAUGAUAUAAUAAAUAGAAUCCGGUUUCCAUUCUUUCCCUUCUCAUUCAGGGAAAAAAAAGUAUAAUAUUUACAAUAUUUUUUUUACAAAGAAACCAAUUAUUAUAUGCUCAAAUUAACUUAAAACUAUUUAAUAUUAACAAUUUUAUUAGUCAUUAAUUUUUUAUUUGACUUUAAAUUAAAAAUUGAACCUGGAAAAAUACAAUAUGAAUAUUAUUAAAUAUUAUCAUUACAUAUAUAAUAUUUGGUUAUAACGGUAUAGAAUGGAGGUGCCUUCAAAAAAAAAAAAAAAAGGGUAUAGAAUGGAGGUGAUUGUAUUUAAAUAUCAAUGGAUAUUAACAGCAAAUGCAAGAGAAGGCCUGGAAUGAAAUUAAAAACAGAGAACAUGUUUGGUGCUGGGUAAAUUGUCAGUCUUGGCUAGCUUCACUGCAUAUGGUUUUGUUUCAAAGGCUCCUAGCAAGUUAGUACAUUACAAUUUCCGCCCACACAGGACAACCAUAGUUGAUUUGAUUCGGCAUUCAACAUGUUUGCAAAUGAAAUUGCAAGUACCAUGAUUUCGAAAGUAUUAAUAUGAAAAUUUGAUCACUCUGAUGAAAUGCAGAAUUAUUUUUUUUUAACUACACUAUCACCAAAAAUACCAAAUUGCUGUAAUAAAUAGAAUAAGACCAUGGUGCAUUGGAAGGGACUGGUAAUGCUGCCAUGGUGUGAUGCCGCUACUGCUGCUGCACCGGACUAUGACCAGAUUGAGAUGCUUCACCAUCUUCCGGAUUUUUUGUUUGAUGGUGGACACCGAUAUGGGCUUGAAUUUUGGCUAAUUCAGUCUCAGCAUCGUGUAUUUCUUCAUUCAAAUUUGUUAUGAUUCCAACACAUCCAUAAACAGGGUCUGCUUCCCUGGAGUGUGCCUCAAAGUAUAGCGAAUUUGCAGCAUCUGCUCGUAGUUGAACUGGAAGUUGCUGAGACAUGAAUUUAAGCAGCCAGUCAAUCAGCACCUCAAAUACACUUAUUUACCUUAUUGUGCUAACCGGGUACACUCACACACACCUACGUUGUCUCUGACAAGUCUUGAACCAUUAAAUUCAAGGCAAGAGAAUUAUCAUUUCAUAUUUAAUAUGUUGUACUUAAUUUUUAGAUUAUACCAAAACAACCCGAAUUAACCAGAUACAAAUUUGCAACAUUAGCCAAGACCUUUAAAAUAAAUUUGAACAAUAAGCUGAUCAUCUUGGAUUAGGACCAUAACACAGUAUUGUAACAAUGUCAAUCUGAAAUGAAAUAUAGGGGAGAGAGGGGGGGGAGAGACAGGGAGAGUGGGAGAGAGAGAGAGAGGGAUGGAGGGAGAGUGGGAGGGAGGGAGAGAGAGAGAGAGGGAGGGAGGGAGGGGGAGAGAGAGAGAGGGGGGGACGGAGAGAGACGGAGAGAUAGGGGGGAGAGAGAGACCUUAAGCAUUUUGCCAAUGUUACUGGCUCCAUAGAUUCUGUGCACACACGAAAAUCUCUGAGGAUCAUCAGAAGGGAAAUAAGGCGAAAAGAUGCAAUCUGAUGGACAUUUCCUCCGCAGAUACUUGCAAGCUGCACAACGAGAACGAGUUGAAGUCAUGAAGAAUAUAUAUCAGUUGAAUCUUUUCAAAGAUUUUCUCAAAUCUUAUUGUUAUGUAUUAUGUAUAAGAUUAUAUGUAUCUUUGAUGUUGCUGAAUAUCACAUUUGAAAGCAACGGCUAGUUUUGAAUGGCAAAUUUGACAGUAGAAAUUCCAUAUUUGGAGUGAUGAGAGAGUUGGCAAGAGAAGGCUGAUUUCCAGGUUUCCAUCUUUAACUCUUUCCAUGGUAGGGGUAUAGGGGACUCUCUAUGUAUGUACAAUUUUUAUCAGCACUUUACAAGCUCAGACUAUAAUUAAUUAAAUUUUAUCAUGAUGGAAAAAUCUUUUAUUCUUCUUCGUUACCAGACACAAUUAUCGUGUCUUGUUACUCUUGUACGAUAGCGAAUUUUAUGCAGGAACGGAGGGUUCAACAUAUAUUUUAAGACCCAUGUAAAGUAUAAUUUUAUAAAUUAUUUUAAAUAUUUAUUUCUGCAUUGAAGUUUAAUGGUUAAAUUGUUAUAAAAAAAUAAAAAAAAAUUGUGAACAAUACUUUAUACAUGUUAAUCCGUGAAAAAAAAAUAGGCAGAUGGAGUAAAAUUUUAGGACUUGGCGCCGAGUAAUCCAAACCUUAGUAUUUAUGAUGGAGCGAAAAAUAUUAAAGGCGUGUAUUUGAUUGGGAUUUUAAAACCUUUUUUUUUGUAUUCAUGAAAUUCGAGUGUAUUCGAUUGGGAUUGUUUGAAAUCCAUUAAAAUCUUGAGAUAUUCAAUUGGGAUUUUAAAUUAUGCUGCAAAAUCUAGUGAUAUUCUAUUGAGAUUUUAAAUUAUGCUUUAAAAUCCGAUGGCAUUCAAUUGGGAUUGUUUAAAAUCUAUUAAAAUCUGAUGGUAUUCAAAUGCGGACGGAUUUUUUUUCAUUUCAUUAAAUGAUGGAUUUUGUGGCAUUAUUCAGUGUAUUUUAAGUUUUUUGAAAUCCCACCAAAAUCAAUGGGAUUUUGAAGCAGUAUACCUAAAUUCUAUCUAACUCUGCGACAUUUUAUCAAGAAUCCGCACAAAAUCAAAAUCAAAAUCUCAUACAAUCCAUUAAAAUCCAUAAACUAAAAACAAUUCAUUAAAUUCUCAAUCGAAUACAUCCCGUUAGUAUUGAUAUUUUCAGAAUGCUCAGAAAAAUAUGGACAUUUAAAAUUUAUUGUGUAAUGAUCUGGUUAUUUUGGAUCAUAAACUUUCUUCAUGAUCUCGGUCAAAAUUGGGCCGAAUCAUUUCUCACUCUUCUCACCAUCAAAGAAACCAUUGUUAGUGGACAGUCUCAUCGCGUUGAUGCGGUAGAGUCAAUUACCAAACAUACAGAAUUGUUUACAUCCAACUAAAUAUGAUUGACUACCAUUCUACCAUAUGCACAGUAAACAAUCGACUCUGGACUGUCUCUUUACCCAAUUGACGGUGUCGUUGAUGUCUCUUGACAUAACAUGAAUACUUUUGUUUCUUUUAGACAUGUUAUCGCGUAGACAAAUAGUCGUGCCGAUUUUCUUCCUGACAUGAAAUUUUAUUUUAAUCAUAAUGUCUCUUCACUUGAAAUAUCAAUAAACGGUCUUGUUUUGACGGUGAUCCACUCUUAUGAUCACAUCGAUUAGCCUUAUAUUUUCCAUCAAUAAUUAAACACACUCACGCAUUCUUGAUACCCGUCUUUUCUCUUGGAGAUCGGGUUCAAACGUCAACAUUCUGUAAAGAACUGCUCGGGCAGGAUUAACACGACUACGCUUAUUUCAUAUGUCAUUCCGCUCAAACAUACCUCGCUAAUGUUAUACACAAUAACACAAACAAGAAAACACAAGGCUCUGUAUUUUCAUUUCCCAAAACUAUUCUACAUUCUUAGUUUAUUGCUGAACAACGCUAUAGUUUCUAUGUUCAGUUGGUCUUUCAUUAUGCAUUCUUGUAUAUGUAUCUUCAUAGUUCAAUGUACCUGACUCCUGCGUAGCAGGGCGGAGGAAAGUCCUGAUGUACGCAGUCUUUUUAGAUCCCGCUACCAUCUUUAACAUCAGAUAAUUGCUCAAAGAAUACCAGGAGUCAUAUACUAUAAGUAGUGUUGUUGGUAUUGUUAAUGGCAUCAUAUUUGCCUAUAUAAUGUCUCUUCUUUUGCUGCCUUCUCGGAGUUCAUUUGAACUCUAUUGUGGCGCAUUGGUGCUGAUUAUCUGAUUAAAUCUACGUCUUCACCAUCACUGUCAAUUUCUACACUCCCUUUCCCUUCGGUAUCAUCUUCAUCAAUCAAAUCCUCUAAUUGCUCAGACUCUUCCUCAUCGUCCUUCUCCUGAUCUUGUCCAUCUAUCUCAUCAUUUACGACUCCUAUAUUAUCUCCCUUGCUCUCCCUGAGCUUACCUUCUACCUCAGCAUCUUCAGUGGCAGUUCCUUUAAUAUCUGUAACGAUCUCCUGCAGUUGAGGAUCUAAGCCCUUCCUCCCCAGUUUUAACAUUCCGAAGUCAGUACUUAACUUGGCAGUCCCGAAGCUCUCCUCUGACGCUAACUUUCUCUGACAUGUUUGCCUUACUUGGUACAGCAACCAUAUGCAAAUGGCGAGCAAUAAACAUAUCUGAAGAGCGUGUUUUACCUUGAACUCUUUCGACCUUUGAUUCCUACUGGGCGAUUGCUUCAGCAUUAUUGAUUCAGGCAAACUGGCUAAACUAGACAUUCAGUACAUCUCUGAAAAUGGUAAAUACAAUUAUGUAGGAAUUGGGUCAAAAACGCAGAAUAAAGGUUACAAGGAGACAAAAUAGUAGACUAAAGGAAGCACACAGCAGGAAUGUUUUAAAAGUUAAAAACGCAAACUCCAGCAUCCCCCACGAGAUUAAGGAAUGCCUUAUUACCCCUGUUCCCGGCUCCCAAGAGUAGAAAGGUUGUUUCCGGUGAACUCCUAAUCGAGAUAAUUUUUUGGGCAUAGGACUGAUCACCAGAAUUAAGCAUGUCUUUAAAAUGAACUACUUCAACUCCUCAAUUACCAUAUGUUGAUCAUAUCAUAAAGUGAUUAUCAGUGGAGGGGCACUUUGAAUAGAAGGCUCGAUAAUCUUUGUAACAACUUUAUGCCAAAUAAUAUACCAGAAUGAUUUUAAUACUACUACAUAUACAUUAAUCUACUACAUAGAUCUUUAUGAAUAAUAUACAUUAAUGUCAUAAUAAUCCUUAAUCUACUAAAUAUGAUCUUUGUGUUAUUUUAACAUCUUCACAUCAAAAAGCUUCAUAUUAUAAGACAAUUAGCCUGCUGAGUACGAAUCAUCACUCUCAAAAAUCUAGUGCAAUAUUAAUAAACAUGUAACAUAACCACAGAGANNNNNNNNNNNNNNNNNNNNNNNNNNNNNNNNNNNNNNNNNNNNNNNNNNNNNNNNNNNNNNGAGAGAGAGAGAGAGAGAGAGAGAGAGAGAGAGAGAGAGAGAGAGAGAGAGAUUAAUCAAAUCAAACAAUGUCCAUCAAAAUAAAGUAGAAAGUGAGAGAGACAGAGAAACACCAACCAGAGGAGAAACUGCAAGCAUGUAAGAAGAAGCCUGAGGCAGAGUAUGUUCUUACAAAUAUAUAUACAGAACCAAAAUCAAGAAACAAAAGGUACAGCAGAGCAGAAGUGAGUGAGAAAGGAAAAAGAAGAGGUGGGAAAUGAGGUAGAGUGUUAAACAUACAGGUAGUUAGAUGAUAAAUACUCAAGAGAGCUGGACUAGUCCUUGUAACAUUUUUAUGUUGGACCUGUGUGUGUCGGUUAGUCCCCAUCAACUUUCAUCUUGACAUAUUUUCUCAACUCUUCAAUUACUUGCCUUUACUGUGUUAUAUUUAUCACUUUUACCAAAUUAUUUUUGACCCACCUAAAUCUAGUUUUCUUUCUUUAGGAUCCACCAUUGUAAAGUGUGAUUUGCGAAUCCUUCUACUUUUUACUAACCAGCUAGAGCACUGGAGUUAAUAUUUAAUUAAAUAAUAAUUUAAUAAUUCGAUAUGCCUUUGGAUAAUCUGCUUUGUUUUUGGGAAAAAAACUGCUUCCAGCCUUUGGAGAAGUCAUUAUAAUAUAAGAUUUCAAUAAUGAAUCUUGUCAAAAAUAAUAUUUGAUAUUAAACCUCGAGAUAUAUAAAUAUCAAAAAUAUUUCCAAACAGUUAUCUUACCUAUCCAGAACUUUUUUACCAGCAUUUGGGAUAUUGGAUAUGAACCAAAAUUUUGAAAACUCUCAAACUUUUCAUUUCAAUAUACCUCAAACCAAGUCAAAAAAUGAUGACCGAGAAUGUCAUAUAGAAAAUCAUAAAUAUAUACAUAAAAAAACCCAAAAUUACACUCAAACAAUUUCAAGAGCUAUCCACAAUGUUGCACAUUUUUACACUGUCCAGUUUCCAUGCAUCCUCCUCUUGUGGGGUAUGAACAUUGUGCUGGAGCUUAAACUUGCAAACUUACAGACAAAACUUGUCAACCAUAUGUUGUAUUACAUCAGCUCCAUCGGAAUGAAUAGAUGGAGUUUUUACCUGCAAAAAAAAGGCUGGUUACAGAUAGUAAUAGCAUUUCAUUCUUCUCGUUUUUGACAUGAAAGAUCAGUAUGGUACAGUUGUGUACUAAUAAAUUGAGUAAAAAACUUAGACUAGCAUUUCAGCUCCAAUAAAAAAAAAUUAUAAAACGGAUACUACGCAAGUCAAGGCAUGUACUUGCCUGGAUUGUACUGUGCGCAAAAAAUCUUUGUUUACUUCCACUAAAGCUAACAUCUCCUCUUUCCCAGCUUACUCUGUUUAGUCCUUGUAUCAUUGCCUCUGAACUUGGUAUAACACAGAUAAACACCAUUAAUACGCAAGAUAUGUUACAGACUUGUAGGAAAUAAAAUCAAGAUAACCAACUAUCAAAAGCAAUAUGCCAAUAUCAAGUGAACUGGUACUCGAGCUUAAUCAAGGUUUUCAUCUAAUAAUACUGGAGGUACCAUGUUGUUUGAAGUUGUAGAAAUAUAUUCUACCAAGCUGGUAGUCUUGUCAGAAAAAACAUUUGAGGGGAAUCUUUUCAGAGAUUUAUUCAAUUUACAAGUUGAUUCCAAUUGUUAAUAGUGGCUAACAAAUGGUUUCCGCCAAUCAAAGCUGUCAUAUUAACAAAAGUGCAGGAUAAUUAACAAUAUAGGAGUUCUAAUAACCAAAUGUUAUGAAAUUACAACACUGGUCAAAGAUUAGCGAACAAUAAAUGGGGUACUUACCUUCCAGUUCAAUAUCAUCAGUGAUGGCACCAUUGACUUGUGGUUCUAUAUGACAGCCAUCUAGCUUUGCAGUUUCUUCAUUUACGAUAUGAGGAUAUCUGUUGUUUGCUGAGAGAUGCUGAUGGUAAAAUUCAAGAUAAGUGAGAUACUUAUGACUCUAAACAACAUCUCCGCUAAAUGUUAAAUAACUUACUUUUGGGAGCUCAUUUUGACGGCGUAUGGACGCCGUUCUCCAUCCGACAACAUCUGUUUAAAGGUAAGGUCAACAGAAAAUGUAUAUUAACAAUCACGAGAGCAUGAUUGGUGUCAUGUGUGGUUGAUUCUAUUUUUUAGAUAUGUCUGACUUCUGAGCAUAAAAAAGAAGAAAACUCAAUACAUACAGCUUGCUUAAAGGAAGACAGAUACUAGAAACAAAACAGAAGUCUUAAAUCACAUGCAUGUUUUAUGAUAUUUCUUCCUCGAGAACAAGUUUAACACAUAUAUUGGAAAUAUAUUAUGGAUACUAAAAACAUUCUCUCAUUUAUAUGCUUUGUGAAAAGGUUGUCAAACAAGUCAGAAGUAGUACAGGCUCAAGUAUGAAAACAUACAAUCGUAAAAUGCAUUUGAGUAGGUAACACAACGCUUGAAGGACUGCAAAGCAGAUCUGCAGCAAUAAGCAAGGUUAAAAUUAAGACCAGAAUCACAAUUAACGGUGGAAGCAGAAGGUCCCAGUUAACUUUGUCAGGGGAGCUCACAUAAAUUGAAGAUCUUCACAAUCUUGGGUCAUCUGAAGCAAAAGAGGAGGUUUUCCAUCAUCUGUAUCAUUUAGAAAUUGGUGUUUCCCAGUUCUUCCAAGUAGCCAUGAUAUAUAUGAUGCUAACUUCUCCAAGGACUGAAUCCCACAAAAUAAGGGAACCUGAUUUUGCAAUGAGUUUGUAAAUACAACCACCAGGAGAAGCCGGUAAAAGCAUCACAGAAAAAUUUUAUUUUAUUUUUUUAUUUUAAAUCCUUGUACUCAUUUUUGCUUGUGAUAAAAAAUAGAUAUACUCUAUUAAUAUUUACAAAUGGAGAUAAGAAUAUAUGAGAAACGUUUUACACUUUUAGCAGUAUAAAUCAAGUACCUUAGAUGGGUGGAUAUUGAUAAGAUACUACCAUCAUUUCUGGCAGAGAUCAUAAUAGUAUUUCAUACUAAUGAUAAGGCUAAGCUAUGCCUUUCUCAUACUUUCAUCAAUUCAGUAUGAAAGCUUUUGAAUUUGCCUCUUAUAUAUAUGUUUACAAAAACAUUAUUCCAAAUGAUGAUUAUGCCAUAAUGUUCAAGUUUUCAUGAUAAAAAUUCUUCGUGCAACUUAAAUCUAUAGAAAUUCUGUCACCAAAAUAAAUCAUGUUUUUCAUGUACACGUUAUUUGAGUACAUUUUGUAAGUGGCAAUUUAUUAGACAUCAUCAGAGGACCAUUUACGCGUAUAUAAUGGAUCAUUGCUAACAACUGUACUCUGAUUCACUAAAAUGGCAAUUGAUAAACUGUACUUAUCCAUCUUAAUAUAUUGCCAUCUAAUAAGUUUUUUUAAUUGGCAAACUGCCGACUUCUUAGUUCUUCCUUUAAUUGAAAUCGUGAUUUUUUUGCUAAAUAACUUAACUCGUAUUAUUUAUAAUGCUGGACUCGAUAUAUAACAUAAUUCAGCGACAUGUAUGACAUAUUAUUCAUACAAGUUAUAACUUUUAGAUAAUAAUGAAUCCAACCAUUAAGAAAAAGUAACCAUGAAGAGAAUUAGUCAACACCUGUUUAUGCCCUCUCAAACCAAGGUGUGGGGUUGCGGAGGUUAUGAAGUUUACAGGCUCCAGUCCAGCAAUUUUCCCUUCAGGUUUUUCCUCCCUAAAUGGCUUUUCAGAUCCAUCUGAUUCUCCAUUAGCUUGAUGUCUUGGCUUUCUAAAAUCUUCUGAGUAGAGUUUUGCAAUAGCAUAUCUAGCUAUCAGACCACCGAGUGAGUGUCCUAUAAAAGAAAUCUUCUGAAGAUCAGGAUGACGUUUUACAACCGAUAUCACCUGAGAAAGUAGAAUACUUAAAUUAUAGCCUGACACUGUAUCAUGGAACAGAAGCUUCAAAACUUCAUUCAGAUAUUACUAAUUAACAUGAUAAAAAAUUUAGUAUCACUUCUGAGGAAACAAAUUACAAUAGUGAAAUACAAAAGUCAGUACACACCUCAUCGGCUAAUCUGCUCCCCAUCACAUCGAUUCCAUCAAACGUCAGAGUUGAAUAAUUACAUUCACUGCCUGAACAUAAAUAUCAUGUAAAUGUGAAUUAUUUCAAAACAUUAGGGCUAACGUGGCAGAAACAGGGAAGCAGGAAACUAGAAGAAACUAAUUAUUUGUUUGAGGCAGUUAUUAAUAUUCUCUUGAGUUUGUUACCAUUAUAUCUUGUCAAUAUUAAGUUAAAGAGUAGUAAGAAGCACUUAUAUUGGACACACUAACUUCACAAUAUAUCAAUUGGUAUUAAUUUGAAGGAGGAUUAAUACUGCAAGGCUGCUGACAGCAAAACCUUUAGUCUAUGUAGUUAACAGAUUGUAAAUCUAAAAUACUCUAUCAGAAAAGUGAAAUUUUAUCCUUAGUUCCCUUACAAAAGUAGCAGUCUAUGCAACAUAUCCAUAUCUGUGUAGUACAAAUGUAAUAAAAGCAUAUUGUACUACUCUUGUUUCCCUAAAAUCAAUAGACACAUUAUUACAAGAACACCAAUUAACAAAUACAUUGCAAGGUUAGUCAAAGGAUAACUUACAGUGAACCAUUACAUCCUGGGGGUACCGACUCAAAAAUUGCUUUGCAGCAUAUCUCCAGUCAUGAGCACUGCACACAUAAAUCAUACACCAACUUCCAACUCGUGAACUAGUAAAAAUGUCCUAAUGCACAAUUUAAAACUCUGAAUGUAAUUAAGAGCGCAUAGUCUUAUUUAGACAUUCUUUGGACUAUAAGUUAUAACAAGAGAUAUAUAGUUCAAGCCUUGGUGAAGGCCUGGGUGUGCAAGUAUAUUGACAUUAAUAUGCAGCAUAACACAAAACAGCAAAAGAACUAAAGAAAAAUGUCCCUGAGUAUGUACUUGCGGGACUUGCCAUUGAGUAGCAUAUAGUGGAAUACUUGUAAUUAUUUGAUCAAGUUCUGAAAUUACAAAGAUACCCUAUGUGGUCACAAUAAAAAUCCUUUGUAUCUCAGGUGAGUACAAACAGGAAAUAAUUAAUAGAUCUUAUAUAAAACCAUCAAGCUCAAAGAACUACUAUAUCCAACAAAGUUAAUCAUGCAAUCAAAUGCACAUGUUAAAAAGAUUAUACCUUUAUCACAAUCAAUAUGGAGUAAUCAAGUAACAAACUCUAACUCAAUUGUAUCAGCCCAUUUAGAAUUUUAUUCGUGCACAUAACAAUUUGGCAGAAUAGCACAUUUUCGAAAUAUGGCCUAUCACAUCACAUAAAAAUUAUAUUUCCACAAUCAUUUACUAUUCAAUAUCAACAAUAAAUCUCCUGAAGUUUAUACCAUGUCUCCAAUAUCUUAAAACCACAAUCAAAACAUCCACUUUUCACAAUCCCAACACAACAAAGUUUGCAAACUAUAACUUGUAAAACAUCCAAUGAAAAUAAAGUUUCUAUCUUUUAAAUCAUAACUGAAAAUCAACUAAAAUCUGGAUCAACCAUCCUGCCAAAUGCAAAUAAAGUUUCAUUCUUCAACUACAGACUAAAAAUUGACAAAAAUCUUGAAGAACUAACCUGCCAAUGAUUCCAUUAACAGUAACAACAAGAUGGGUUGGGCUAGAAAGCAAGGCAGAAUCUUUAACUGCAGAUUUGAUAUCAAAAUUGCCAUGAACAUCUGAUUCCUCAACAGUAGGGUGCCCAAGGUCUGAUUUAAAACAACCAAUUAAAGAUGAAGGAGAUGAAGAUAAAGAUUUAAUCUUUUUGGGUUUUUUCUUCUUGUUUUCUUGGCCCAUUACUUCAAAUUGUUCUAUGCUGUUCUUCUCAGAAUCCAUUGGAAAACCCAAAAAUUAUACAUACAGGGGUUGUUUGUAUAUGUAUGUACGAGUGGAAAAUUGGGGCCUGCAGGCUGCAAUUAAGUACUUGUUCAAGGGACAAGAAGACGGCGCAUGAUGAGUAGAGUUUGUACAUGUAAAUGAGUUGUUGCCACCGUGCCUACAGCUUUGUGUUUUCAAUAAUGGUCCAUCUCGAAUAUAUAUGUGUAAAUCCAAUUAAUUCAAAAAAUUUAGUCUAAUACAUGUGAAUAUAAGUAUCUAAAAUUUGACUCCCAUCGAUAAUAUAUUAUAAUUAAUUUUUUAAGCAAAAUUUAAAAGUUCUUCUAAUUUAAGUAUAAUACUUCGAAAUAUGAAAAGAUUUUUUGAAACAAUAAACUAUAAUAUCAUGAUAUUCAUCAUUUUAUCUAACUCAAAAAAAUUCAUUAAUUUAAUUAUAUCAUCAUAAUUUAUUUAACUACAAACAUUCUCAAUUAAAUAUUACAAAAUGAAUCACAACUUAAAAUAUUAAUAUACUUUCUAAAAUUCGAAUCGAGCAGGCAUGCAUAAUUCAAGAAGGAAAAAAACCCUACUUUUCAUGUUCCAAACACUGAGAUACAAAUGAGAGUAAAAGUUGCAUACAACCAAAUGAUGGAAACUUUUUUCGGUUAAGGUUGCAUUUGCCCUUAAUUGUUUGUGUACAAGUUACUUGAUAUUUGAAUGAGAUUUUUCGAUUGAAGUGGCAUUUGCUUAGAAGAACCUGUUUGUAGAAAUGCUUGUGUUAAAUCAAGACUAUGUUUGGACGAAAAGUAUGUACAAGGUUGUCAUGUUUGUAAACAUAGCUAACUUUUAGCAUUUACUUCACUCAACUUAAAUAAUUCCACAAUAUCCAAAAUCAUUCCUGGCCUAUUUAAUCCUAUUUAAAUAUUUAACUUAUAUUGUCUUGUUAUUUAUUGUUAGAUUUACAAUAAAAAUGUUGAGAAUUAUAAAUUAAUAUUCAUUUGAGUAAAAAAUUUAUUUUAUAUAACUUAUAUAUAUGUUACUAAGAAUAUAAAAAUAAAACUUUUAAGUUAAAACUGAAAAUGAUAAUAUCAAUAAUUAUCGAAAUAUACUUAUCACAUUAAAUAAAUUAUUGAAAAUAGUAUCUCAUAAAGGUUUGUAAAGCCAGACAAACAUACUACUAAUGCACCCUCCUUUUUUAUUAGUAGACUACUAGUACUAAUCAUUUAGUAUUUGUUUUAUGCCAGAAGCAAAUUUCCAACAAAACAUUUCUUGUGAAAAUUAAUAUCAUUUAUAAAGUGAUGGACAUAAUUAAACAAAGGAUUAGGAAAUCUUAAAAGGUUUUUGAUUAUAUAGUAUAUAGAUUAUGAUUAUAUAUAUAGAUUAAGUGCUGAAAAGCUUCUUAAUGUCAUUUAUAAAGUGAUAAAUAAACAUAAGCAAAUGAAGGAUUAAGGAAUUUCAAAGGUUUUUUUUAUUAUAUAUAAAUUAAGGAGGGUACUCAAAAGCUUCUCCAUAAACUUGCUCAUUAUUCAUUCAAGGCUGAUCCAACAAAAAAAACAUUUUCAGAGGUAUGGUUAGUCACUGAUCUUGUUUGCUUUGAUUAAGUUUUUGUUCGUCUUAUGAAUCCAAAGAAACUAUGGAGACCCCAUCAGCAAGCCAUGUUCAAAAUGCAUGUUCUUUUCUGUUUCAUGUUUAUCAGUUUUACCUUCAUUCUGUUGCUCUCUAAAAUAUCUCAGCUCUACUGAGUACUGUAUAUUCACUAAACACAAGAAUAGAUCAUUGUCAAGUAAUCUGCUCUAAAGGGCCAGGUAUCAGUAUUAGAUUUGAUAUCAUGUUAAGUAACAGGUUAGAGAAAGGCCCAACAGAAUCUUAUGUUACACCAAACAUUAUUCAACAUCGAUAUCUUGUGAUAUUUAUUAUAUUUCUGGCCAAAGAAUCGUAGAAAAAAAAUAAAAUCAUUCGGUUCUUUUCUUGUUGCAGUACAUAUAGCAAUGUUGUAACUAUGCAUGCAAAUACUCUCUGUAUUUUGCAAUUAAUGUAUGGAUUAGGGUCCUAUGUUAUGGUUAUACAUUCCUUGUAUGCCAAUAAGCAAAAUUUUCUAUAAACUUUUCUUCUGAAAAUGAAUGGAAUUUAUGAAGGAAUGAACAGAACUAAACAGAGGCAUAUAGGAUAAUAAACAAACUAUCCUUCUAUUUUACUUCAAGCAUUUUCAAUCUGCAAGGCCAAGUUUACUCAUCAACCAACAAAUCAAUAUAGUAAAGAAAUAAAAAAAUGGAUGUUUCACUCUUUACUCAAUCUAACAAUUUGGAUUGCCCAGAAAGAGUGGAUCAAAUUUGAAGUUUAAGAAAUUAUAAAGUUCUUUCUUAUUACUCUCUGAUCCUCUCUUUUUCUUUCGCGUUCAAUUCUAUUUUUCGUCUUCAAUUAUUCAUUUAUUGGGUUCGAAAUUCAUUCUUUGAUUGGAGGGUUCUGGUUGGGUUGGUCCAUGCUUUUUGUAGAAGUAAAAUCUUUUUAAAAUUCAAAUUUAUUGAUAUUUUGUUGUAUAUAAUGAGGAGAGUCCUGAAAAGCUUCUUCAUAAGCUCAGUAUUCAGGGCUAAUAGAAAGAAAAUAUAUUCAGAGGUAUUGUCUGGUAAUCUAUCAUGUAUAUUGCAGAGUUGUUUGUUCAUCAAAAAUCGCUUUGAGUAUUAAUGUUAAUGUUUUUGUUUGUCGUAGGAAACAAUGGAGACCCCAUCAGCAAGCAAUGUCCAAAAUGCAUCUCACUCUGAGGUACAUUUUUGAUUCCAUCAUGUUUUUGAUUCAUUUGUUUGUUUCUAAUAAUUUUAUCGGCAUUUUGUUGUUUAAAAGUAAAUCAGAUCCUCAACAUGAACACAUGUAUUUUGUACAUUAUUUAGUUACUAAUUGAUCAUCCUUAAUUUUCAUGAAAUUAAUAUUUCUGUUUUAUCUUGAUCACAUAACUGUCCACUCGAAUUUUUGUUCAUCCAGCAGAAAUUAGAAGAGUGCCUAAUGGAGGGUCCAGAAAACAGUCUCACUGAUAAUAUCAUACUAAAUCAUGACUUCUCUGAAGGGCUGCAAUCGUGGAAUCUAAAUUGCUGCGAAGGCUUUGUAGCUUCUGCAAGUUCGGGUCACAAAGGAGCAUUGGCAAAUUCAGAGUCAGAAAGUCAUUAUGCUGUUGUUACUAAUCGCAAGGAGUGUUGGCAAGGGUUAGAACAAGAUAUCACAACUAGAGUUUCGCCUGGUUCUUCUUGCACAGUUUCUGCUAAGGUUAAAGUAGCAGGGCCUGUGGAGGGAUUGGCUGAUGUAUUGGCUACACUUAAGCUGGAUCACGAAGACGGAACAACUAGUUAUCAACGCGUAUCAAGGUACUGGUACUUCUUCAAAUUUUGUGUGUGGCCUUUCUGUAUUAAACACGAAGUUAUUUUAAUAAGUGUCUCUACAUGCAGAAUCUCUGUCAGUAAAGAAAGGUGGGAGAAAUUAGAAGGAACAUUUUCAUUGACAAAAAUUCCCAAGCGUGUUGUAUUUUAUUUGGAAGGGCCAUCUCCUGGAAUAGACUUACUCAUAGAAUCAGUAGUGAUUUCAUGUCUCAGGCGCGGCAAGCUCAGUGUAAGUUGAUGUUGCAUACAAUUUAUUCAUUAUACUGUAGUUUAUACAUUCUGUUAAUGUGUAUCUUAUCAUGCAAUUUGACAGAUUAAAGGCACCGGAGACGUUCCAGCUGAAAGUGAGAAUAUAAUACUGAAUCCUGCAUUUGAUGAUGGUGUUAACAAUUGGUCUGGAAGAGGAGGCUGCAAAAUUCUUGUCCACGACUCCAUGGGAGAUGGAAAAAUCUUACCCAAGUCUGGAAAAUAUUUUGCAUCUGCAACAGAACGCACACAAAGUUGGAAUGGUAUUCAGCAGGAUAUAACUGGAAGGGUUCAGAGAAAGCUUGCUUAUGAGGUAUCUGCUGUAGUACGGAUUUAUGGUAACAAUGUUACAAGUGCCAAUGUACAAGCUACUUUAUGGGUCCAGACACCAGACUUCCAGGAGCAGUACAUAGGCAUCUCCAGGUCAGUUUUUCCUAUCUCAUCUAGAACUAAAAAUGAGCUAACAAUGUUACCAGUAAUUUUAUGGAUUUUGCACGGAGACAUAGUAGUUGCAGUACUUAAUAUAACCGGUUCUAUAUGUUUACUUCUUAAAGUACGCAGGCCACAGAUAAAGAUUGGGUACAGUUGCAGGGUAAAUUUCUUAUUAACGGCAAUCCAUCAAAGGUAGUUGUAUAUCUAGAAGGCCCGCCUGCAGGCACUGAUAUUCUCGUUAACAAUUUAUCCUUGAAGCACGCAGAAAAGAUCCCUCCAUUACCUGCACCAGUUAUAGAGGUAUUUGAAUUAGUGAUUCAGUUCUUGUUAUUGCUUCUUGACAGAACAGAUUCAACUAAUUGAGAUUUGAUAUAUUGAGACGCUGUUUUACUGUAUUGCAGGAUGCAAAUUAUGGAGUAAAUGUAAUUGCAAACAGCAACCUUUAUGAUGGCAGCAAUGGAUGGUUUUCUCUUGGCAAUUGCACCUUAACCGUUGCAAAUGGCUCACCUCGUGUACUUCCACCUAUGGCGAGAGAUACCUUAGGGCAACAUGCACCAUUAAGUGGUCGCUGCAUUCUUGUGACUAAUCGGACUCAGACUUGGAUGGGACCUGCUCAGGUGAUCACUGAUAAAGUCAAGCUCUACCUGACAUACCAAGUGUCUGCUUGGGUAAGAAUUGGCUCCAGGGCAGCUGGUCCUCAGAACGUGAAUGUUGCAGUUGGCGUGGACAGCCAAUGGGUGAAUGGUGGCCAAGCUGAGAUUAAUGAUACUCGUUGGCAUGAAAUUGGCGGCUCUUUUAGAAUUGAGAGAGAGGCAGCUAAGGUGAUGGUUUAUGUUCAAGGUCCUGCUCAAGGUGUUGACUUCAUGGUCGCGGGACUGCAGAUUUUUCCAGUUAACCGGGAAGCAAGGUUUAGACACUUGAAAAGGCAAACUGAUCAGGUUUAAAUUCCCUAUAUGAUUAUAUUACUUGAGUAAUUAGAAACUGACAUUGUUAGGAUACGAUCAAAUUUUCCUUUUGUUGCUUUGCAGGUACGUAAACGCGAUGUCACCCUCAAAUUCUCUGCAUCUGAUUCAAGCAUGCUGCCUGGUACUUUUGUAAAAGUCAGACAAACUCAAAACAGUUUCCCCAUUGGUUCAUGUAUGAGCAGAUCAAACAUAGAGAACGAAGAUUUUGUCGAUUUCUUCACGAAACAUUUUAAUUGGUCUGUAUUUGCAAAUGAGUUGAAGUGGUAUUGGACAGAGUCCCAACAAGGAAAAUUAAACUACAAAGAUGCUGAUGACCUCCUGAACUUGUGCAACACAAACAAUAUUGAAGUCCGUGGUCACUGUAUCUUCUGGGAAGCAGAGAACACGGUUCAGCCAUGGUUGAAGGCUCUCAACAAAGCCGACUUGAUGACAGCAGUUCAGAAUCGUCUGACAGGCCUUUUAAGCCGUUACAAGGGGAAGUUCAAGCACUAUGAUGUUAACAAUGAGAUGCUGCAUGGAUCAUUUUAUCAAGAUCGAUUAGGUAAAGAUAUCCGAGCCAACAUGUUCAAGACUGCCAACCAACUAGAUCCCUCGCCUACUCUAUUUGUAAACGAUUAUCACAUUGAGGAUGGAUGUGACACUAGGUCGACUCCAGAAAAGUACAUUGAGCAGAUUCUUGGUCUGCAAGAACAAGGUGCACCUGUCGGAGGGAUAGGAAUUCAAGGACACAUAGACAAUCCAGUCGGGCCUAUUGUUUGUUCUGCUCUAGACACUUUAGGCACUCUUGGCCUUCCAAUCUGGUUCACAGAAGUCGACGUGUCUUCCAUCAACGAGCACAUCAGAGCAGAUGACUUAGAAGUUAUGCUUCGAGAAUGUUUUGCUCAUCCAGCUGUAGAAGGAAUAAUGCUGUGGGGAUUCUGGGAGCUCUUUAUGGCUAGAGAUAACUCACAUUUGGUAAAUGCAGAAGGCGAUAUCAACGAAGCAGGAAAACGGUUGCUUGAGCUUAAGCAAGAGUGGAUGUCGAAUGCACAUGGACAUGUCGAUGAACAACAACAGUUUCAGUUCAGAGGCUUCCAGGGAACAUAUGAAGUGGAAGUUCGCAACUUCUCUCAAAGAAAGAAGGUUCUCAAGACAUUUGUUGUGGAUAAAACUGAGUCUCCAAUCGUCGUUUCUAUCGAUCUAUAACCCCAAUUGGUACCAUUGCUGUGGAAUCAGAACUUGCAUUACAUUGUCUAAAUUGUGUGUAAUUCUAAAUGGUUUAAGUUGGUGUCUAUUGUAAUAAUAAAAGGCAUUCUCUGUUUCAUUGCUCAAUGCUCAUUGAAUCUUUGAUCCUCUCAGUAUCCGUAAAACUUGAAACUAUUAGAACUAUAAAAGCACGCUGUUCGACGUUACAAGGUCUGAACAAAUAUACACAACAAACUUCAUACAUUUAUCUUAAGACUUUGAACAGAAGUUCUGAUACAGAUAUCAGUACAAGUAAAAUAUGCAGGUCUCGAAAACUUACUUCCAGAUCUUCAAGAUUGCGAAAGGACAAGCAAAACUGAAGCUGUUCAGCUAAAAAUAAUUAAAUCACUCUCCUAUCAUAACAUACAUACAUACAUAACAGUCCCACAAACACUGGCCAACUCUCAACAACCAUAGUAUUCAUAGAUUUAUGGCACAAUAUUAAUCAUUGUUGUCUCGGGAGACCGGCCCACGUUUAUUAUUCAUGGCCCCAAUCGAUAAGGACCUUCACCAACAUAGUGGCCCUCCAUGUAUAGAGCUGCAUUUUGAGGAUGAAGUCCAUCCAUCACCAUAAAUUGCAUAUCUUCCGAAGGUUUCCAGUGUCGUUUUCUUUGGUUGAUGAACCAAUUAUUAAUCUGUUUCUGAUCCAACCCGGUUGAUUCUGCCAAUGCUACUUUCUCCGUCUCCUGUGUAUCAACACAUCUUAUUUAAUUACAUAUUUGCUUGAGUAAUCUUAACUACGUUUACAUUAUGCAUCUAACAUUACAUGUAGAUUUGCAUGAAAAAAAAAACUUACAGAAGGAUAUGGCCAUUUGUAGUGCAAGUCCCACCAACUUAGUAACUUCUGGCGGGCAUCUUUGGGUAGUUUUCCUUUCUUCUUUUUCUUGGAAAGUUCUUGCUUGAGACUACUCAGGUAACCACUAUAUUUCCUCAAGAGGUGGUUCUUCAGCUCCCUAUCUUCAGCACGUGGAUCAAUCUGCGGAAGUUCUGUCUCUCCACCGCUAUUAUCUUGAUCCUCUUCUGACGAACCAAUGACCUCACAUUUCUCAUCUAGUUAAUUAUAGAGAGAAUUAGAAAACAAGAGUAAACCCUUUACUUUAUCAGACGCCUUAAAACAUACUAUAUUAGGGCAGCAGAUCAAGGGGAGAAAAUUGCAUAAAAAUAGCAGACUGUGUUAGGGCAGCAGACCAAGGAGAGAAAAAUUGUAAAAAUAGCUAUGCACUUCAUAUAAUAUGCUUUAGGUAACAUUAGGUUUGCCACAAUCAGUAUCAACUAUAAAACAUGCAAGAAAAAACAUGCGAGAAACGUAAUCAACCUCUAGCAUCCCAAAUUGUCGUGUGAUUAAAAUUAAUACAAAUCCUUAAGAAAGAAUAUGAACAAGCACAAAAUUGCACUGACAAACUGACUAAGUACAAGUAAAAUUUGAGGUUUUUUAGGAUCCUGUCUGAUCCAUUACAAUGUACCAUCAACUAGAAUAGUCGAACUAGGAAAAAUAAAAACUUAACUUAGUAGUGGAGUAUACGCAAAAUCCAUUCAGUAGAAAUCAAAAUUCAACUUAGUAGAUUAGAGCGGUGUUCAGUAUGUUUAGCAAGCACAAGUAAAAAUAAUUAAGGUCAUAAAGUGGAGCCUGUCAUCCCAUAUUAGUGAAUGCUCAUCUCUCUUAGUAAAACAAAAACGAUCAGGCGUAUAUAUAUGGAACUUGAUAACAAAGCACUUCAAAGUGUAUUCAAUUUUGCAUCUUACCGUCAAUGAUUAACUAGUAUUUCCUUUUCUGAACAUGCUUUCUAAUUAUGCUUAUACCUCAACCUUCGGUUACAACUUCAUUGUGGAAUCUAGAAUCACUUUUGUUCAUCUAUCUUUUCUAAGAGAUAAUUUCACAGGUUGUGACUAACUUACAAGUUAUCAACAUACUGAACUCAGCUCUAAUAUUUGGAGAGUAUUUCCUUUCUCUUGUAGUGUUUUUAGUUGGGAAUCCUGAGCUGUUUAUACCAAUUUCACUGAGUGUGUACCAUAAAAGUAAAGGUUUCGAGCUUGUCUUGUGACAAUUACGGAAAAAAGUAAUAUUGUUUGUUAACCCAACUUUUCCACCAAGCUCCUAUCAAAUACUAACACCCAAAGUUAUGUCUCAAUGCCUCUAUAUAUAUGUGCUCCUCGAUUUCGGACUCCCUACCAGAAUUACCAUUGGGUACUUGAAAAUAUUUGACACUGUCAUUAUUGAAUAUAGGCAUUUUGACAAACUAAAAAAGAUCACUUUUGAGAUGGAUUUACAAUGCAGAAAGAAAAAAAAGAAAAAUGAGGAAAAAGAAGAAAGUGAGAAGAAAUGGAGGCUUCGGCAUUAAUGUAAUAAAAAUAAACAUAAUUGAUUUAAGUUACAAUCUUUCAGGAAACCUAAUUAAACACAUCUUGUUUACUCCCAAUAGGUUUUGCAUAUUAUCCAUUUAAAUAAAUUGAAGUCAGAAUACCUUAUAAUUAUCUAUCUGUUUGACCAUACCUACUUGAACUCGGGCAACAUAAUUUAGAAGUAAUUACAAAUUUUUUCUAAAGUUAUUACUUGGAUUGGUCAAGACUUUAUAAGGUAAUGUUUAUAUCCAAUGUGAAUUUUAAUUAGAAUGGGCUACUUAUUUUUAGAGGAUUUGCUUACAGGUUGUUGAAAUGUGAUUUUAUAUGUAGGAGUAUAGGACUGAAAUCAAGUAUUACAACAUAAGAAAAAAAAAUUGGAUAAUUCUUUGGCAUUUUAACAAAAACUUUUUCCAUUUUCAGAAAAAAAAAACAAAAACAAAAACAAAAACUUUUACCAAGCGAAAAUAUAAGAAAUUAUUAGUAAAUUGCUUAUAAACUUAAUAUAAAAACUUUCAGACUUCCACCAAAUAACAAGUCCUAGGAGAAAUAGGAGAAAAUGAACCUAACUAAUUCCGAGACAAAUGGACAUGUUGCUGAUGCUCAUUGCUUGAUUGCUCACAAGCAUUAACUGGAAAAACUGAAAAGGUGCAUCUAUUCUAAACAUCAGCUGAUUCCCAGCAGCCCUUACAAAACCCAUCUUUUAUUUCAAAUCCAAGCAACACACCAUAGUCACAACAAUUGCCAGCCAACUAGCAGCACUUAUUUAUAAUCAACCGGUUAAAAAUCUUUAAAAAACUAUCAACAUUAAUUAAAAAAACGUUACCCAGUGUAUUCAAGUAAAAAAAUCAAAGUGGAUAUCACAAGUCCACAGACAAAGAUAAUUAGAUCUAGAAACAGUCAUAUUAAUACAUGCAUGAACUAGUACUACUGCUACUAGUCAUAUUAUGUAUGAAAAGACAGAAAGUUGAAAGCAGAUAAAUUGACACUUAAAUAAAAUAAAAAGUUAGGGAGAAGUAAAUAAGAAAAGAGAGGCAGGAAAAGAUGUACAGGCUAUAUUUGCUAGGUCUGAUGUGAAACAGCAUCCUAUGUUCUUCUCCAGUUUUCAAAGCCAUACACCCCUACUACUCUACUACUCCACUACUCUACUCGGGAAUGUAAGAAAACCAUUUUAAUAACUGCACACACCUUGAUACACAUACACACAUACAUGUCAGAACAAAAUAAGUGUGUUUUUUUUAAGUAGGGGAACAAAACCCUAGUAAUUAAUUACUCCAAUGAGUGUGUCAGAUGAUUAAUCAAUGAGAUUAGUUGAAAAGAGUGAGAUUGUGUUUGCCUAAUUCCCUACCAAUGUCUGGUUUAUAAAGAGUAAAGUAUGAAUAAAUUGUGAGGUUUUGGUGUAAAGUGGUGAUUAGGGUUUCUUCAAAAGGACACACAGAGUGCAGUCAAGGGCAGUGGCAGUUUGUUCUGUGAGUCAAAGUUUGGGUUCCCGGUGAAUAAAUGACAAUCAAUCACACUCCAUCUCCACAUCUCUUUACUUCAACUGCCAGUUCUAACUUAACAUUUCCCCAAAUAUAACAAAACUACACUCCACAUAGAUCUACCUUCAUCACUUGUAUCUUGUUUCCUCUUUCCAGCUAUAUGUUCAUAGUACGUACGGAUAUACGGUUAUUUUUGUUUAUAUUUGAGAUUUUAGAAGAAGUGGUCACUUAGCAAAUACAGAAGAGACGACCGGAGUUGCUAUAUAUGGUUAUUUUUGUUGAAAUUUGAGGUUUUGGAAGAAACGGUCACUUAACAGUAACAGAUAUGGAGGGGAGUACCGGGGUUGAAGAUCUGACGUGGACUGGUGGAGAGCAUAUUGAGCUGAGUCUCUAUCCUUUGCAUGAACUCCAUGGCCUCUUGUAAUGGUCUGGUUAGCUCCUCACGGUACUUCACAAGCAUGUCGUAAUAAGCCUCCUGUUGAUCAAUCUUUUAUUAAUUGAAUCUAAAAAUAAUCACUAGUGAAAGAACAAAAUUAUGAGAUAAAAUCAUAAAAAACACACCAUGAAUUGAUCAAGCUCUGGAUCUUUGGAUGCUUCUCCGCAGUUUACUGAUGCUUGCUGCCUGGCUUCGAAGUCCUGCCGAAUAGCCGCCAGCCGAGCCAUCACUUCUGCCGGAGCUCCAACCUAAUAAAUUCCGUUACAAUUGAUAGCAGAAAUUUAAAUACUCAUGCCAGAAGGCUAAGGCUAUAUUAAUCUCGACCCUGUGUACUUAUUAUAGAUUGAGUAAUAAGUCCAAUUAUAGUCGAUUACAGAAAUUUAAAUACUCAUGCCAUAGAGCCUAGACUAUAUUAGUCUCUACCCUGUGUACUUAUUACAGAUCGAGUAAUAUGUAUUAAAUUAAAAAAACCUUUUGGCAAUCCAUGUAAGCUUGCAGAAGACUAGAAUACUGAGGAUGAGCAAUGAUCUUAGCUUUAAUAGCUUCAGCAGCCGCACCUUCACUCUGAUCAAUAUUCUCCUGGUGGCUUCUGAUGGCAGAAGGAUAAUGAAAUCUGUGGUGCACAGAAUUAUGAUUCCCAGCCUCCAUUUUCACCAUAGGAUGAUGAUGAAACCUACUUGAUUCAUCAUUAGGGAGAUGAAAUCCAUUCAUCACAAGAGGCAGCUGAUGAGCAGAAGAAGAGCUAGAGGUGCCUCCAAUUCCGUACAAGAAACUACUUGCUCCUCUUGAAUUAUU